This 287-nucleotide ribosomal RNA is filed under the name uncultured bacterium. RNAcentral describes it as "partial 16S ribosomal RNA". It matches the Rfam family "Bacterial small subunit ribosomal RNA", at positions 56 to 339 of the family's 1533-position model. The record is from RNAcentral.
UGCAAGUCGAACGUGAAAGUUUUCUUCGGAAAGCGGGUAGAGUGGCGCACGGGUGAGUAACGCGUAAGUAAUCUACCCUGGUAUCUGGGAUAACUAACCGAAAGGUUGGCUAAUACCGGAUACGCUGAUUUAUCAGGAAAGGUGGCCUCUUCAUGAAAGCUACUGUACCAGGAGGAGCUUGCGUACCAUUAGCUAGUUGGUAGGGUAAUGGCCUACCAAGGCGACGAUGGUUAGCGGGUCUGAGAGGAUAAUCCGCCACACUGGAACUGGAACACGGACCAGACUCC